RNAcentral lists this ribosomal RNA (377 nucleotides) under Escherichia coli. RNAcentral describes it as "bacterial SSU rRNA". It matches the Rfam family "Bacterial small subunit ribosomal RNA", at positions 72 to 449 of the family's 1533-position model. Lineage: Bacteria; Pseudomonadati; Pseudomonadota; Gammaproteobacteria; Enterobacterales; Enterobacteriaceae. The record is from RNAcentral.
GAAGAAGCUUGCUUCUUUGCUGACGAGUGGCGGACGGGUGAGUAAUGUCUGGGAAACUGCCUGAUGGAGGGGGAUAACUACUGGAAACGGUAGCUAAUACCGCAUAACGUCGCAAGACCAAAGAGGGGGACCUUCGGGCCUCUUGCCAUCGGAUGUGCCCAGAUGGGAUUAGCUAGUAGGUGGGGUAACGGCUCACCUAGGCGACGAUCCCUAGCUGGUCUGAGAGGAUGACCAGCCACACUGGAACUGAGACACGGUCCAGACUCCUACGGGAGGCAGCAGUGGGGAAUAUUGCACAAUGGGCGCAAGCCUGAUGCAGCCAUGCCGCGUGUAUGAAGAAGGCCUUCGGGUUGUAAAGUACUUUCAGCGGGGAGGAA